RNAcentral lists this ribosomal RNA (404 nucleotides) under Actinomycetes bacterium. RNAcentral's name for it is "Actinobacteria bacterium partial 16S ribosomal RNA". It matches the Rfam family "Bacterial small subunit ribosomal RNA", at positions 355 to 776 of the family's 1533-position model. Lineage: Bacteria; Bacillati; Actinomycetota; Actinomycetes. The record is from RNAcentral.
UGGGGAAUAUUGGACAAUGGGCGCAAGCCUGCUCCAGCCAUGCCGCGUGAGUGAUGAAGGCCCUAGGGUUGUAAAGCUCUUUCACCGGUGAAGAUAAUGACGGUAACCGGAGAAGAAGCCCCGGCUAACUUCGUGCCAGCAGCCGCGGUAAUACGAAGGGGGCUAGCGUUGUUCGGAUUUACUGGGCGUAAAGCGAACGUAGGCGGACUAUUCAGGCAGGGGUGAAAUCCCGGGGAUCAACCCCGGAACUGCCUUUGAUACUGGUAGUGUUGAGUUGGAGAGAGGUGAGUGGAAUUCCGAGUGUAGAGGGGAAAUUCGUAGAUAUUCGGAGGAACCCCAGUGGGGAAGGCGGCUCACUGGCUCGAUACUGACGCUGAGGUGCGAAAGCGUGGGGAGCAAACAGG